RNAcentral lists this ribosomal RNA (166 nucleotides) under Penicillium roqueforti. RNAcentral's name for it is "partial 28S ribosomal RNA". It matches the Rfam family "Eukaryotic large subunit ribosomal RNA", at positions 1 to 163 of the family's 3401-position model. The record is from RNAcentral. Lineage: Eukaryota; Fungi; Ascomycota; Eurotiomycetes; Eurotiales; Aspergillaceae.
GGUUGACCUCGGAUCAGGUAGGGAUACCCGCUGAACUUAAGCAUAUCAAUAAGCGGAGGAAAAGAAACCAACAGGGAUUGCCCCAGUAACGGCGAGUGAAGCGGCAAGAGCUCAAAUUUGAAAGCUGGCUCCUUCGGGGUCCGCAUUGUAAUUUGUAGAGGAUGCU